This 33-nucleotide ribosomal RNA is filed under the name Hylotelephium ussuriense. Its description in RNAcentral is "partial 28S ribosomal RNA". Lineage: Eukaryota; Viridiplantae; Streptophyta; Magnoliopsida; Saxifragales; Crassulaceae. The record is from RNAcentral.
GCACCGCGACCCCAGGUCAGGCGGGACUACCCG